Podospora conica is the source of this 122-nucleotide non-coding RNA. The record is from the annotation of a GenBank genome assembly. Lineage: Eukaryota; Fungi; Ascomycota; Sordariomycetes; Sordariales; Podosporaceae.
GGGGGGGUAGCUCAGUGGUAAGAGCGUAGCGAACUUGCAUUUGGUCUUUUCCCUAAGAACAGCGAAACGUACCCUAGAAAUGCCGGUUCCUAAGGUCCUGAGUUCGAAUCUCAGUUCUCCCU